Long non-coding RNA from Paramisgurnus dabryanus, 2994 nucleotides. RefSeq lists it as uncharacterized. The record is from RefSeq and is a predicted model, not a curated record. Lineage: Eukaryota; Metazoa; Chordata; Actinopteri; Cypriniformes; Cobitidae.
UACACACAGCUACUAUGAAUGCUCUUCAGUUUCUUACUGUGCACCACUCUCGUACACACUGCAAACUUUCGGAAGUGACAACCGCAUAUAAAUGCGUGAGUGAAUCCCCGAAAUGACCGUUUCAUGUCUGUACGGAACAAAACUCACUGCCGAAAAUGCCAUGAAGUAACCAUAGCAACGCCCUGCCUGCUCACGUGGCUAAGCUUUGACCAAAAUAAUAUUUCAGCGUUAUGUUUUCCAAUAAACCUCUGUCUUGGCAUUUUGUUAGACACAUUUGUCAAGCUGCUUCAGCGCUGUCUUGCAGUGUUGCCAGGUUCACGUCUUUUUUAGCUUAACGUUAACGUUACAUUAAUUAUGCUUAGCCCCGUUUGUGGCUUUGGCUCAUGACACGAUCAAGUUUUUGGUGUCAUUAAAGUGGGAAGGUGCCGAUCGCAAUAUUUUGAUAUUUGAGGUAAAGAAAUUGGAUUUACUUUGGUUUGUAAUGGAAUUUGUCUUGUCCGCUGUAACCCCUAUGGUUACAGGCCGUAACCACAGCUUGAACAUUUUAAUUUAAUUUAAUUUAAUUUAUAAAGCACAUUUAAAACAGUCACCAGACUGACCAAAGUGCUGUACAGAAUAAAAAGAAGAGUUAAAUCAAGUCCAAAGCGAAAACACAUACUAAUCAAGAAAAUAGUAAAACACAUUCAAGCAAGACACAUAAUACAAUAAAUAGUAUAAAAAAAAUAAAAGAAUACACUUCUGACCAUGUCAAUUGACAAAAGCUAAGAAAAACAAAUGAGUUUUUAAUAGAGAUUUAAAAAUACAUAAAGAUGGAGCAGCUCUGUGUGUUAGCACCCUAUAACUUUGGCUGUGUUUGACGUAUUUACAUUGAAGUCAGUUCCUUAGAUAAGCCCAGCGAUUCAAAAUAUCCCAUGUUUUGACUUACAGUUUGAGAUUUCUUGUACAUAUAUUUAUAACCCAUAAACAAACAGUAAUUUUUACCAGGUUUGUCAAGUUGAGAUACCCACGUAGAAGGUGACGUUCUCUGGCAACAUUCCCUAAAAUUUCUCUAAAGAGGAUGAAAAGACCUGAACCUUUAGAGAACAUUAGGUACAUUCCUAAAACGUCCUUUGUUGGUUAUAAAAGUCUUGCAGUUCAAGGUUCCUUAUGUGACUUUAGGGGGACGCCUGAGACAUUAACAGAAUGUUCACAAUGUGCAGUGGACCAUACAAACAAAGUAAUAAAUAAAUGAUUUCAGAAUGAAGAAAAAUAAAUGAGUGAUUUAGUCUGCACUAUCAUACAUCAGACAAAUAUACUAAUAUGUAUUAUGUUGUACUCUCCGAAUAUGAUGAUUUAGAUUGCAAUGCAUCUUGGAAACAGUAGUCAGUUAACAGCAACAGCGUUUAAUCCGCUUUAUGAAAAGGACUACCUUUAAUGGCACAGCUUACAAGAGGACCCGGAAGUCGCAUGAAAUUCAAACUGCCACAAUUGACGACGUUUGAUCUUCGUUUGUCUUUAUAUAAUAUACUGUAAGAAGUCAUGUACCACACUUCGUCAAACCUGAAGAAGUGUUUCUUCCUGCAAUCUGGGUAAAGAAUGAUGCUCCAGAUCUGGAGAUUGAAGUUCCUAAAGGUUGAUGUUUAUCAAGCUUGUGACCUUAUUGUAUGGUGUUAAUUUUUACAUUUGUAUAUCUAAUACACAUUUGCACAUCUGAAAACAUACAUUUUACAUUUUGUGGGUUAUUUUUUAUUUUAUUCAACCAGUUGUUAAAUAUUGGUUUCUGUUAUUACAUUUUAUGCACUUCAACUGUAAAUGUUUUGUUUUAAUUGGAUCUUUAUUGUUUUAAACAAUUUAAUUAUUGUGGGUUUUUGUUAGCUUUUAUGUUAUUCUUGUAUUUUUUGGCUAUUUAUUUGUAGCUUUUUUAUUAUCAUUCUGUUUAUUUGCCAGAUUUUGACAUUCUGUUUAUUUUUCCUGUAAUCCCACUUCGAUUAUUUUCUGUGUUUUUCAAUUAUACAUUUCCAUCACAGUCCCAGUUUGUUAAAGCUUGUUUUUCCAUGUUUCACCGUUCAUCAUUCAUUUGGACUUCAUUUCCCAUAAUCCUCUUCACUCUCUCACCUGAACUGUGUUUGUUAUUAUCCUCACCUGACAGUCAUCCCCCUCAUAACUCAAUUGUCUAAAUACCCCGCUGUUCCCUUUGUAGGUCAGUUCUUGUUUAUAGUGAUGUGUUGUGAGUUUUGCUGUUUACCAGUUGCCAUGUUCCUUGUUUAAUAUCAAUUAAAGAUUAUCAUUUUGGAUUCAUCAUCUCUAUCUCCUCCUUUAUCCUCCACCACACCAAUCGUAUCAAUUUCACAGUAUAAUUAUAUAUUGGUUGAGUUACCGCUAUUUUUUGGGGCUUCUGGAUAAGUUGUGGGUGAGUCUCAAAACGUUCUGGGAACUUUAAUAGGCAAUGUCCUUAACACCAGCAGGGUCGUUCUGAGCGCGUUCUGGAAACGUAAAGUCUACAUAAAAUAUGGUCCCUUUGACAUUUCCAGAACGUUCUGAAUGUUCUGAAUGUCUGCUGUCCUCCAACCCUUUCAAGAACUCCACAACACGUCCGUCUCAGAACGUUUUGGGAACUUUACUGGGCAACGUCCUUAACACCAGCGGGGUCAUUCUGAGAACGUUAUGGGAACGUAAAAUUUCUAGGGGGGAUAUGGGCACAGGACAUCCUCUUACAUGUAUCUUGUCUGCCUCACCAUUUUGGUGACCGUAAACCAUUAAACUGUGUUUUUAAGUGUGCAUUUUACACAGAUUUUUUAUAUACUCAUUAUCAGGCAUGUCCAGAUUUGUUUCCCGUUAUGCACAACUGCCCAUGUUGGGCUUGACUUGGCAUUGCAGCUUACAGCUAUAAAUGUUACUGUACAUGUGCACUUUCUGUAAAAUGACUCCAGAUUAUUUCUCUGUCAUCUGAUAAGCAGAAUCAUGGGUUUCUACAAUUUACUUAUAUUUUAUGAUGCUGUCUGAAUAAGCAUUGUG